GAUGGUAUUGGAUAUUACUGACUAGGUCAACAUUUUUGUCUUUCUUUUCCUCUUUGUUUUUGUGGUGCAUGUAUGCGUAGCCUGCUGACAUGCAUACCAAAUGCCCAAGUCCCUAUCAAAUUCCUCUCAAGUGUGGAGAGAUAGAUCUAGGCUUUAUUUAAUUAGUUAUGUUUUAUAAAUUAUUUGAUGGACACGUUAGUGGUGGGAGACUAGAGACUUCAAA
This 223-nucleotide long non-coding RNA is filed under the name Prunus persica (peach). RNAcentral's name for it is "long non-coding RNA (PPER_LNC000086)". Lineage: Eukaryota; Viridiplantae; Streptophyta; Magnoliopsida; Rosales; Rosaceae. The record is from RNAcentral.